RNAcentral lists this ribosomal RNA (468 nucleotides) under uncultured bacterium. RNAcentral's name for it is "partial 16S ribosomal RNA". It matches the Rfam family "Bacterial small subunit ribosomal RNA", at positions 28 to 507 of the family's 1533-position model. The record is from RNAcentral.
GACGAACGCUGGCGGCGUGCUUAACACAUGCCAGUCGAACGGAAAGGCCCUGCUUUUGUGGGGUGCUCGAGUGGCGAACGGGUGAGUAACACGUGAGUAACCUGCCCUUGACUUUGGGAUAACUUCAGGAAACUGGGGCUAAUACCGGAUAGGAGCUCCUGCUGCAUGGUGGGGGUUGGAAAGUUUCGGCGGUUGGGGAUGGACUCGCGGCUUAUCAGCUUGUUGGUGGGGUAGUGGCUUACCAAGGCUUUGACGGGUAGCCGGCCUGAGAGGGUGACCGGCCACAUUGGGACUGAGAUACGGCCCAGACUCCUACGGGAGGCAGCAGUGGGGAAUAUUGCACAAUGGGCGGAAGCCUGAUGCAGCAACGCCGCGUGCGGGAUGACGGCCUUCGGGUUGUAAACCGCUUUCGCCUGUGACGAAGUGUGAGUGACGGUAAUGGGUAAAGAAGCACCGGCUACCUACGUG